Molecule: ribosomal RNA, 434 nt
Filed under: uncultured bacterium
Lineage: Bacteria
Description: bacterial SSU rRNA
Rfam family: Bacterial small subunit ribosomal RNA
Source: RNAcentral
AACGAACGCUGGCGGCAUGCCUAACACAUGCAAGUCGAACGAAGGCUUCGGCCUUAGUGGCGCACGGGUGCGUAACGCGUGGGAACCUGCCCCUCGGUUCGGAAUAACAGUUAGAAAUAGACUGCUAAUACCGGAUGAUGACUUCGGUCCAAAGAUUUAUCGCCGAGGGAUGGGCCCGCGUAGGAUUAGCUAGUUGGUGGGGUAAAGGCCUACCAAGGCGACGAUCCUUAGCUGGUCUGAGAGGAUGAUCAGCCACACUGGGACUGAGACACGGCCCAGACUCCUACGGGAGGCAGCAGUGGGGAAUAUUGGACAAUGGGCGAAAGCCUGAUCCAGCAAUGCCGCGUGAGUGAUGAAGGCCUUAGGGUUGUAAAGCUCUUUUACCAGGGAUGAUAAUGACAGUACCUGGAGAAUAAGCUCCGGCUAACUCCGUG